RNAcentral lists this transfer RNA (73 nucleotides) under Mnemiopsis leidyi (sea walnut). RNAcentral describes it as "tRNA-Arg for anticodon UCU". It matches the Rfam family "tRNA". Rfam says of the family: Transfer RNA (tRNA) molecules are approximately 80 nucleotides in length. The record is from RNAcentral. Lineage: Eukaryota; Metazoa; Ctenophora; Tentaculata; Lobata; Bolinopsidae.
GGCCUUGUGGCGCAAUGGUUAGCGCAUUGGACUUCUAAUUCAAAGGUUGAGGGUUCGAGUCCCUUCAAGGUCA